GUGUCAGCAGCCGCGGUAAUACGUAGGGUGCGAGCGUUAAUCGGAAUUACUGGGCGUAAAGCGUGCGCAGGCGGUCUGUUAAGACCGAUGUGAAAGCCCCGGGCUCAACCUGGGAAUGGCCGUUGAAACUGGCGAACUGGAGUGUGGCAGAGGGGGGUGGAAUUCCGCGUGUAGCAGUGAAAUGCGUAGAGAUGCGGAGGAACACUGAUGGCGAAGGCAGCCCCUUGGGCUGACACUGACGCUCAGGCACGAAAGCGUGGGGAGCAAACAGGAUUAGAUACCCUGGUAGUCCACGCCCUAAACGAUGUCGACUGGGUGUUGGGGAAGCGAUUUCCCAGUACCGUAGCUAACGCGUGAAGUCGACCGCCUGGGGAGUACGGCCGCAAGGUUAAA
Molecule: ribosomal RNA, 393 nt
Filed under: uncultured bacterium
Lineage: Bacteria
Description: bacterial SSU rRNA
Rfam family: Bacterial small subunit ribosomal RNA
Source: RNAcentral